GUGGUUGAAACUUGACCAUAAGUUCUCAUUUUGCAGGCACAAUCCAAUAUUGUGUCAAAGGAAAUACACUCAAUUGAUAUUGAUCCAUCUUGCCCAUAUCAGUUGGCAUUCCAUCUUGAUGAUGGUUGGUCAGGCAUUUUGGACAUCCAUAAUUUCCAAGUGACACAUGUUCAUUGUCCUCCCCCUCCUUGGUUGGAUGGUGAAAAUGUUUUCACCAACCUAUCAUGCUUGAGGAAACCAUCAUGGCUACCACCAUAUUCAAUCUAUGCUGUUGGAUCAGCAUAUAAUAAUGGAAUUCAUCUCUUAGACUUCUUUCCAAACCCCAGCUCUGCCUGUCAUGUCGACUAUGACGAGGAUACACAGCGUGAUCCUAGGGAAAACAGUCGGCAUAAGCAAAAUAGGUUUGUUCCGUUGUCUGAAGGUGUUACAGCAUGUGCGACUCAUCCACUCAACGGUACCAUUGUAGCUGGAACUAAGCAAUCAUCGUUGCUGGUGGUUUCUCAAAAACACUGGUCAGUAGAGGCAGAGACAACCGUGUGAGGAAUGAUGAAGACUAUUGGAAGCUCUGGACACAAAUUCAUUGCAUCAGUUGAGGAAACAUGCCCAAUGACAUCCGAGAAUCAAGAACUACUAGAGGAUUUCCGAUCGGCACUUUCAUGGAAAUACAAGUGCGCACUGCGAGGUGCAUAGGCUCUAAAUCAAUUAGUGCAAUUGGAGUUGAGCAUUCAUGCCUAGAAUAAAGGUUUAAAUUCUUUUGGCAGAAUCGGGAAAUUCUGAGGGAUUUAAUGAGCUAAUGUUCUUAUGUUGUACAAGGGCUGGUGGCAAGAUACUGUUUUGUAAUAUGUGGUUUAAGUUACCUGUGUAUUUAAAUGAAUGUAACUCAUAGGUCUUCAAUGAAAUCAAAUAUAUAUAGUUAUUUUUAUAUGAAA
This is a non-coding RNA of Camellia sinensis, 929 nucleotides long. Lineage: Eukaryota; Viridiplantae; Streptophyta; Magnoliopsida; Ericales; Theaceae. The record is from RefSeq and is a predicted model, not a curated record.